UAGUACAGCCAAUGUUCGCUUC
This 22-nucleotide microRNA is filed under the name Tribolium castaneum (red flour beetle). RNAcentral's name for it is "tca-miR-11618b-4-3p". Lineage: Eukaryota; Metazoa; Arthropoda; Insecta; Coleoptera; Tenebrionidae. The record is from miRBase by way of RNAcentral.